CGCCUUCUGUGGUAACGGGUCAUACGAGUUCAUUAUUAUCGAUAACUAAGUGACGAUUAUUUAGGUAAUAGAAUAUAUAUAUAUAUAUAUAUGUUGAGACACAUAUCUGUAUAAGUGAACAUUUUACCAAGUUUACUACACUGGGAAAGGAAUAUUUAAACGAGUGAUUCGCAUUGCGCAAUAUCGUGUUAAUCAGGCAAAGGUAAAAAAAUUGAACGCGUGUUUAACCCUUCCUCCCAGAAAACAUGUGCAGAAGAGAGAGAAAAAUGUGAAGAAUAAAAAAUAAAAAAAAGAAAGAUUGUAGAUAUGAAGAAAGAGAGUGAUUUGUGAUUUAAUUGCUCGAACAAUGGAACAUAGGAAUUUCGCGCCUUCGUAAAUCAGGGAAGAUGCACAUCGCCGACGCGUGGGUCUGUGCAAGAUUUGCAACAUAUCACGGCGCCAGAGACCAUGCUGCUGCUGAUGAUGAUGAUGAUGAUGAUGAUAAUGAUGAUGAUGACUCGCAUGGUCACCCAUUUCCUGGAGGAAGUGCUUGCAGCAGUAUCUCAGCAGCUUGGAAUUAGAGCCAUACAACUGUACACUCCGUGGCAGACUUUCAGAAGACCCAGGGGCUUAUCAGAGAUGAUGACACUCUGUAUGAGUCGGAAGGUGAAGACUUUGUACUCCCUGUCCAGCCUUGUUCGACCCCCAGGCCAUGAGAGGACAUCACUCUUCCUGCAGUCUGUGUUUGGACCCUCCUUAACUUGAAGGCGGCGCGAAAGUGCGCAUGCGUGCAUGCAACAGCGAGGGGACCCACAAUUUCCACUGUGCAGUCUGUACUUCAGUGUCGACAAAAUAAAGUGUGCAUUGGAUAUACCACGGAUCUCCAGGCAGACGUGGUCGGAGAAAGCAGAGAAAGGUGACAACAAGUCAACGUUUGAAUAAAAAAGACACACACCAUCUGAAAGUCGGCGGAGAAAGACAGCACAGCCUGGAAACUCCUUACCUGCAUAUACCAGUGAUCUCG
RNAcentral lists this unclassified non-coding RNA (1003 nucleotides) under Penaeus japonicus. RNAcentral describes it as "uncharacterized LOC122255534, transcript variant X1". Lineage: Eukaryota; Metazoa; Arthropoda; Malacostraca; Decapoda; Penaeidae. The record is from RNAcentral.